GACGAACGCUGGCGGCGUGCCUAAUACAUGCAAGUCGAACGGAAAGGCCCUGUUCUUGUGCCGCGCUCGAGUGCCGAAAGCGGGAGAGUAACGCGUGUAACCUGUCCUUGACUUUGGGAUAACUUUUGGAAACUGGGGCUAAUACCGCAUAGGAGCUCUUGCUGCAUGGUGGGGGUUGGAAAGAUUCGGCGGUUGGGGAUGGACUCGAGGCUUAUCAGCUUGUUGGUGGGGUAGUGGCGUACCAAGGCUAUGACGGGUAGCCGGCCUGGGAGGGUGACCGGCCACAAUGGGCCUGAGGUACGACCCAGACGGCAACGGGAGGCAGCGGUGGAAAAUAUGCCGCAAUAGGCGGAAGCCUGAUACAACGACGCCGCGUGCGAAAUGACGGCCUUCGGGUGAUAAACCGCUUUCGCCUGUAACGAAGAGUGAGUGACGGUAAUGAGUAAGGAAGCACCGGCUAACUACGUG
This 468-nucleotide ribosomal RNA is filed under the name uncultured bacterium. RNAcentral's name for it is "partial 16S ribosomal RNA". It matches the Rfam family "Bacterial small subunit ribosomal RNA", at positions 28 to 507 of the family's 1533-position model. The record is from RNAcentral.